UCUGGCUCAGGACGAACGCUGGCGGCGUGCUUAACACAUGCAAGUCGAGCGAUGAAGCUUCCUUCGGGAAGUGGAUUAGCGGCGGACGGGUGAGUAACACGUGGGUAACCUGCCUCAAAGUGGGGGAUAGCCUUCCGAAAGGAAGAUUAAUACCGCAUAACAUAAGAGAAUCGCAUGAUUUUCUUAUCAAAGAUUUAUUGCUUUGAGAUGGACCCGCGGCGCAUUAGCUAGUUGGUAAGGUAACGGCUUACCAAGGCAACGAUGCGUAGCCGACCUGAGAGGGUGAUCGGCCACAUUGGAACUGAGACACGGUCCAGACUCCUACGGGAGGCAGCAGUGGGGAAUAUUGCGCAAUGGGGGAAACCCUGACGCAGCAACGCCGCGUGGGUGAUGAAGGUCUUCGGAUUGUAAAGCCCUGUUUUCUGGGACGAUAAUGACGGUACCAGAGGAGGAAGCCACGGCUAACUACGUGCCAGCAGCCGCGGUAAUACGUAGGUGGCGAGCGUUGUCCGGAUUUACUGGGCGUAAAGGGUGCGUAGGCGGAUGUUUAAGUGGGAUGUGAAAUCCCCGGGCUUAACCUGGGGGCUGCAUUCCAAACUGGAUAUCUAGAGUGCAGGAGAGGAAAGCGGAAUUCCUAGUGUAGCGGUGAAAUGCGUAGAGAUUAGGAAGAACACCAGUGGCGAAGGCGGCUUUCUGGACUGUAACUGACGCUGAGCACG
This 719-nucleotide ribosomal RNA is filed under the name Clostridium sporogenes. RNAcentral's name for it is "bacterial SSU rRNA". It matches the Rfam family "Bacterial small subunit ribosomal RNA", at positions 18 to 755 of the family's 1533-position model. Lineage: Bacteria; Bacillati; Bacillota; Clostridia; Eubacteriales; Clostridiaceae. The record is from RNAcentral.